GAUGAACGCUGGCGGCGUGCCUAAUACAUGCAAGUCGAGCGAAGCGGGGACGGGUGAGUAACACGUGGAUAACCUCCUAUAAGACUGGGAUAACUUCGGGAAACCGUAGCUAAACCGGAUACUUAUCGAUGGAUCCGCGCUGCAUUAGCUAGUUGGUAAGGUAACGGCUUACCAAGGCAACGAUGCAUAGCCGACCUGAGAGGGUGAUUCGCCAAACUGGAACUGGGACACGGUCCAGAGUCCUACGGGAGGCAGCAGGAGGGAAUCUUCCGCAAGUGGCGAAAGCCUGGCGGAGUAACGGCGCGGUAGUGGUGAAAGGUUUCGGAUCGUAAAACUCUGUUAUUAGGGAAGCGGUACCUAAUCAGAAAGCCACGGCUAACUACGUGCCAGCAGCCGCGGUAAUAC
RNAcentral lists this ribosomal RNA (405 nucleotides) under uncultured bacterium. Its description in RNAcentral is "partial 16S ribosomal RNA". It matches the Rfam family "Bacterial small subunit ribosomal RNA", at positions 28 to 526 of the family's 1533-position model. The record is from RNAcentral.